CCGGGAGAGGACCUCCGAAAAUUUCCUCUCGUCUCGCGUGCACUUUUUUGUCUCAUUUGUGGAAAGUCAAUACAAUUUGCAAGGCCGUGGCCGAGCUCACCUCUGCUGUUUUAAUAAACCGCCUAAUAACUUCCAUCUCCAGAGUGAUGGAUGGACUCCGGGAUAAACUUUCUCCUGUCCAACGGCCUGACUGCAACUCGCUGUCCGCAUCAGCACAAAUUUCAUCCCAGUGAUGACCGCCCUGGAUGCGCGGAGGUGGGCUGGAUGUGUCGACACAAGAAAAUUUCAACUUCAAGUGCCUUCGUGACGUGUGGAGCGUCACCAGGUCGCAAGCUCUUUCUGUUUCAUAAUGUUUGGGGGAAAAUGAACUGAACUUGAAAAAAAUGAACAUUUGAACAUUUUCCUGCUUUGGCCAAACCAAUGUGAACUAGAACUCAAAAGGACAGAUAGGCCUAAUGUGUUUUAGAAUUACUGUGUGGACCUGUGUAAACUUUUGUGGAGUCAUGCUGCUCAAACUUCGCAAAAAAGGAGAAAAUUGGCUGAGGUAAGUCUUCGAAACUGAGGUGAGUAAACCAUCAUUUCCCUUACUUCAGAAAUGAAAUGUUAAUAAACGAAUGGAAGUGUGUUUGACAUCAAUCAUGUAGCCUAGGGCUUAAACACAAUGAUUACGGUUAGCCUGUGUCACUUUAUUUGACUCGACUGUGAAUGCUUAAAGCCUAGUACAUAUACACAUUUGAAUAAAAACACCGUAGUAAUGGUUAAAUUCUACUUUUAAACUGGAAGGAAUGAUAGGGUUUGGGGGUAGCCAUUUCAUCCUUACUAAUACUUAGCGAAGAAGAAAUCGCAUGUUGUCCGUUUCACUGAAUGCGUCUCAACGUUUUUUCCCCGGCCCUGUUAAUUUGCAUGAGAAUGAGUAUGGCACGUGUGACAUUAUGUUCUCGCGUGCCAAUAAAACAGUGAGCGUGGCUUUGGGUUCCGUUAAUCCCAUCAUUGUCUGAAAACUUGCUGCAUGAAAGGCAUUAGAAUGCGGUUACUUGCCCAGGUGUUGGUGUCUGAUUGCUGACUUAUUGCAAAUCUUCCGGGCUGCAAAAGACCGCAAGUCUGACAGAGUUUGUAAACAUGUUCGCCACCACAGAGAACUCCUUUACGUAAGCAAUAUAAUCAUUUAUUAUAAUUGGAAUUAUGAUUUUCCUCCAGCUGCGAUUAUUGUAAAUUACAUGCAGACUGAACUCUUUGGAAAUUUCCAGAUUUUAUCUAGUUAUCUUGGUCUAAGUUGUAGAUUUUUUAACGUACUUACUGCGGUGGUAUUCCAGAGGAAAUUUUAAAAAUACUUGUAAUAGUUGUUUGAUUGUUGCCAUUACAAAUGCCACACAACUUUACACCAGUAAUUUCAGGUAACAGAUCUUUACGUUAGCUAAAUGGAUCAAUGCUUGGUGCUAACAAGGCCGGAAUUACCUUUGAACAUAAUCAGAUUAGGGCGAUGGGGCAAUGUGCUAUAAUAACCCCAAAUAUUACUGAAAGUUUACGUGUGACGGUGGUGUGCAUCGUCGCAAGAUUCUUCAACCACGAUUUCUGCAAAACGCUGAUGGGAUAAAUAACAAUAAGAUGAAUAUCAUGGACACUUUUGUGGCCUUUCAAGUGAAUAUGAAUAUAUUUUAAGUGAACACAAUUAGAAAUCACAGAUUCGGUAUAAUGUCAAAUACAAUAUUGCAACUUGGGUUAAGUGUUUUGGGGGUAGGUAGGGAUGCAAAUGCAGGAGCGGCAGCCGCAGCGUGAAACAGCGAGUUACUGUGUGUGUUUUUGUAACCAUCAGUGUGAGUCCGUGUGGUAGGCUAGGCUUAGUUAGGCCCAACUCGGAGUUCGUUAGAAAUCUGCCUGCGUUUUAUCCUCGCCGAACUCGCAAAUCUGAGGUCUGGUAUGAAUGUCAAAGCGGGUCGGGUCAAGUAAAAUCCAAGGUUAGUGAAGAAGAUUCAAGGUAAUGGGCGAAUCGUCUGCGGUCAAAAGGUCGGACAAAAUGUCCCUACGUAGCUAUCAUGUAUACUCGCGCGAGGAAUGGUAAUCAUAGUAUACCUUGGUAUUAGUGUAGGGAACAAAGUUGAGAAUGUGAGUGAGAAGGAAUACGUGAAGGUGAAAUCAGUGAGCAAAAGCAGCUGGCUGCAAGCACGCGCACACCUUGCGCGCUCAAGCAGCGCCACUUCAAUGGGUCGGAGGGUCUAAAAGAUUUCGUUGGGCAGAUUUUAACCUGUCGCCUCUCCAAACAUGCAUCUUUCACAAACAGUGAUCAGGUUGCGUUCAUUUUAAUUUAAGAUAUAUUUCUAUGAUUCAGACGGACUCUAACAAUCAUGAAGGGGAAAUAUUAACCAAGGUUUCAACAUUACAUUUCAGUUAGUAUAAUGGAAAAUGCUUUAGUCAAGAGAAAGAAGCCUCAUGACAUAGCACACUUAGGUACUAAAAGUUUUGUAGACAGUGAACGCGUAAAUUUGCAAUGGUGGAAUCAAUGAUCAUAAUGUGUGAAGUCAAUGCUAUGUGCAGUGACGAAGGGUUAUUCUAUAUAUACAUGAAUGAAAGUACUAGUGUAAAGUUUUCUCGGUUCUGAAAUGUAUCCCAAUCAUUUGAAUCCAGUUUUCUCACUUGUUAUAGUAAUUAUUACUGGAUGAUUCUCAAAAAAUACAAACAUAUCCACUGGAAUACCACCCGCUGUUGGCCAAGUAGACUGAAAUUUAAAUUAUUGCUGACUGACGAAAGCAAGUUACAGCUUAUUCCAUUAUAACUGUAUAAGAAAGGCACUUGAAGUCGAAUGCUACCGGUACAUACUCGAUCAUAAAUGAUUAUCAGUUGAAUGACAGGAUUCUCCAAGGAACAAGGAAAUUUGAACAGACUAUACGAUUUAAGUGGCAGGCUCACUUCUACACUAUCUGGAAAAAAUAUUAUUGUGUAAAAAUUAACCACAGCGAAAGUGACUCUAAGACACUGUUACUGGCAGUCUCUGGCCAACGAGCUUUGUUAUAUCCUUGAAAGAAAUUACAGCCCGAAAGAGGAACAGCUUUAAAUUGGAUAAAAUUACCGACAAUGCCUGGAGUUUUGUUCGAAAUCUUUAUGACGUCCCGCGCAAUCAGCUAGAAAACAUUACAAAAGUUAAGUUCGUUAUAGUUGUUUAACUUGUUCAACAGCUUCUUUAACAUUAGAUUGUUUGCUCUAUGCAUGAAAUUACAACUGUAAAUAGGAGAGCCUUCAGGAACAUUUGUGGCAAUGCCUGGAGCGUUGCCGACUUUCUUCGAAAAGCAGACACAUUUAUUUCAUUAUAACUGUAUAAAAUCCUCAUCAGUAUCGAUUAUAUUAAGCAAUGAAGCUCAUUAUUGCAGACAAUGGCCGGUACUUUGUCUGUCACACCGACUAUGAUAGGUCGUAAGAUCUCACUAGAGAAGACAGUGUUAAUGUGAACAACGAAGAGUAAAUUUCAGCUUCAGAAAGUGAUAGUGCUUGGCUCGUUGCCACUGAGUCUCUUGAUCAAGCUUGGUGAUAUUUCUAAGAGGCCCCUUCCUGCUGAAAACGGAGGCAACACUUUUAACAUUUAUAUUAGUUUCUUUAAUCGAACAUUAAUUAUUAAACACGUCAACACCUUAUUUUAGAUAUAUUAAAGGAGUUCUCUGUAGACGUACUGGAGCAAAAGAAGCAGAGAAAAAUCUCUCGACGAAAUAAUGAUUAAAAUCUGGGAUUAGCGCCGCCUGUACAAGCACCGCAAAUAAUUCAAACCAAUUAACGAAAUAAUGAAAUCUACAUGGAAUAGAUUCAGAUUCACUAAUAUAUUUGAACGAUUAACAUCAUGUUUACCAGCAGCGAGUAUGGUGACAAUAGCCAAAAUGAUAAACUUUGUUCAUUAUAACUGUAUAAAUGGUUUCAAAAUCGAUGGCUUAAGGUUGAUGUAGGCCCAUAAUAUCCCCAUUGUUUAAAAAACCUGUUACAAGUCAUCAAGGAAUAACUUUUUAAGGUAGAUACCACUUGCAACGUCUGGUGCGUUGUCCAGUUUCUACAGAAAAAAAAACACAAUUUGUUUUAAUCGCCAUCAACGAGUAUUGUGAAGUUAUAAUUGUAUAAGAUGUUAACAUCUGAAUCACCACCUGUACUGCAAUUCUGUUCAUAAUCUGCAAUAGAUGUCAGUUUUCGGUUUUCCAAGUAAUAUUUUUCUCGUGUUUUAUUCACCAUGACCAAUCAUUAAGUUGGUUACAAUUGUAUAAGCUUUCAAUAUCUAAGCCACCAGCGGUAUUGUAAUUCGGUAAAAAAAACUGUAUUGGAGUCGGAGACAGGGCCUGGUUUGUGAUCCAGUUUCCAUAGAAGAUCUUGUUUUAUUCACAAUGAUCAAUGUAAGUUAGUCACAAUUUUGUAAACUUUAAUUCAUUAAUAUCAGCACCAUCAACUUCCAUAUAGUCAGUCUAUACAAAUCUAUUACGAGCGUAAGUGACAAUACUUGGUCUUGCACGUUGUCCGGUUCAUGUACAUGUAUUCCCUGAAACUGUAGGCCUACUGCUUUACAACAGAUUACAUCCUGUGUGUUCACUUGAAUAUAAUUUAAGAUUUUAACACGAAUUUGUAUAGAUUUUGUAGGGAAGUGAAGUUUGUCAGUGUAACGGUAAAAAGAAAAAGGUAAACUAUUUCAUGUCAUGAAAUAUUUGGUGUGGAAUAUUGAAAAGAUUAACGCUAAAUUGUAAAUAUUUCUUGAAGUGCAUUUUCACUUGUUACCACUCUGUGGUCCUGAUUGUGUGGCGUUACUAUUUCAACCCUUGUUCCCGAAGACUUCCAUGACUGAAACAGGAAAAAUAACUAGUACGGCGCCGACAGAAGUAAUUCUUGAAAAUGAGGUUACCUUUUUUCCAAUCCGCAACAGGAGAACGGAAACGACAAAAAUGACAGAAAAACAAACCACCUCGACCGUUACUCUCGCAUAAAAUCAUUUCUGACGUCGGAAUUACUUUUCGCGAACGUUCAUACUCGGUCACAAUAACGACGAAAAUUAUGAAAGGAUUACGUACCGAAAAGUGACAAAAGUCGCUGCAAAAAACUAACGAAAAAUUGAAGCGAUAACGAGUCUCUGAAAAAUUGGUGGUAACACCAAGAAAAAUUAAACAAAAUCAAAUGGGAGUAUCGAAGUAUAUGGUGAAAAUCAUUGCGAUGAUAUUGAAAGGAAUAGACUUUGAAAUCAGCGUUCUUUUCCGAGAACUUGAACACAUCUAUGAAACCUUCGACCAGAAUAUAUAAAAACCGGUUAUUACUGCCAAAAUAAAAUUAUACAAUCAGUGAUGAUGAAAGAAGUAACUCUUGAAAUCAGAAUUCCUUUUUUUCUCAGAACUGCGACACCACGGAAAAAAGACAAAAUCAAAAACGACGAUUAUUGCCUGGAAAAUCCACGAAAACAUACGAAAAUUGCAUCCGAGUUCAAAUAAGCGACCUUCGCGAUCUCCAAAACAUACGGUGACGAAAGUGAACAUUAUUUGAACGUUUCAAAGCGACGGGUAAAUAACGAAAAUUUCGUCAAAACUAAAAUCGCUAAAAAUCACGGCUUCGGUAUUGAAUUUAAUUUCAGAAAUCAGCGUUCGAAUUCUGAAACAUCUUCAAAAAUCGAUAGCAAAAAUUACGAAAAAAAAUGAAACACGAAGAUAAUGAGUACAGAUGCGAAUUUUCAAACCGCGUAAAACGACGUAAACGACGAAAAUUAUCGGGUAGCGCGAAAAAAGAUAACUUUGUUAAAAUAAAAAAUGAAAGCAGCAAUGAGUCUUCAAAAUUCGAUGACAAAAAUAAUCGACCGAAUUUAAACAGAAAUUGUAAAAUAGCUAUCAUAUGACAGUGGUGAAAGAAGUAAUUCUCGACAACAGACUUACAUUUUCUCUUGAUGUUUUUUCCCAGUAGACUAUCAUUUCAGUUUUAAAGUCAAAAGACAGUUAAUGUCAUCCUUACUUAUUACACAGUGGAAAGAUCUCCAACUAAAUCUGCAUUACCUUAAAAAGACGAAGUCAGUCUGUAAACUGUCUCGCAAGUAAACUUCUGUGUUAGUGCCAUCCGAGUAACAUCGGUAUAUAGGCGGAUGGCUUAAGCGCUGGUAAUUGUGACAUUUGUCAGAUUAUUGUAGCCAGUAAGUGUUCAUCUUCCUCGACUGUGAACAUAAGACCGAUCUUGGAAAGAUUGGCUGGACAUGUACAUUGUAUCACUUUCGAAGUUACAUCUUUGAAAGUAUCAGGUGCUAACUACUAGGCCUAUACUGUGAGAAACCUUAGGUCGGAGGCAAAAUCUGUAAGGGUGAACGAUCUUCUUAAUUUUGCCUGACGCGGUUGCAAUUUGUCUUGGUCGUUAGACCUUGGUUGAUAAUGUAAGUCCGAUUUUUAUACAUCGGCAUUGGCGAACAUUUUCUUUUGUAUCACUCUAUGUAAGUCUGACCGGUUAUCAGAUCGGCUUGGGCUAUUUUCAUCUUGUAAGGUAUUUAUACAACGUGAAGCUUUUUUUAACUGAACAGUGAGUCCGGUUGCAAAAUCGGCAACUUGUAAGUCCGAAAAGCUUCGGCGAAAGUGAAAAUUGGUUUAAUUUGUUGUUAUCGCAGCUAGAAGAUAAUCUUUGACAAAAUAAGUAGGUCCGGUGGCAAAGACCGGCAUUUUGCAAUCUUCGUUUUAAGUCUGAUCUGUAAGAAUCAGCAUGGGAAGUGAUGGGAAUUUUUUCCCCGAGUGAUUAUGACUUUCGCCAGUAUUUUCUGUGCUCACGAAGCGUUAUAACACCCACCCUCUCCCAACAGGUUCCUUUUGGUUAAAGUAGACUAUUAUAACUCAAUUCUUCAAUGCUUUUAACCAGCAUGGCUGAUAGUCUCAUGCAGUCCUAGUUGAAUGGCCAUGUAAAGGUAUCUCGCUUUUCGAAUUGAUUACUCAUAAGUUAUCAAACAGUAUUCCCACUGGUAUUUGUGAGCUGAGAACAACGUUUGCUUUCCAUAAAGCCACUCUUCACAAGUCACAGGUAAGCCUUUCACUUGUAGCUUAUUUAAUGCUCUUGAAUAUUUCACGGAAAUAUGAUAUACCUAUAUGAUACGUAUAGAUAUUGUGAUAGACCUAGCUAGGGUAGGCCUAGGGCUUCUGUUCCCCUUGUGUCCUAGACCAAGAUGCACCGCUCCCACCAGUGAAGAAGAGAACCUACAAGCCCAAAUAAGACUGGAUGCAUGUCGACCCCCCCCCAUCAGGAUAAGGAUGGACUGCUUCUCAGACAGGAACCAUAAGCAGAGAGGAGGACCAACAGAUGACUGAUGACCCUGCUUGCUGAGGGUGUCAUCAAAGGACCUUAAAGUCGGGUUGCUGUACUCAGACAAGAAGAAUGGCUGUUCAUUAAGCAUGCAAUUACUCUUGGGGAAUUGCACAUGGCCUGGAUUCAACAAGCCUAGAAGUCUCUGAAGCUCCUUCGCUGAACCGGCAACUGGAAGGUUGCUAUGCCUGUAUUACAAAUUCCUGAGAGAACAAGCCUGGAAGACCAAGACUGGCAAGAUGAAGAGGAGGCAAUUUCCUGUGAUGGAGGACAACAAGAUGACUGUGACAUUGAUAACCAAGGAACUGCAUGGAAGUAGGGAGGAGGACUAACAGGUGACUAGGAUGAGAAGGAUCAACAGGAUGAGGAUGACUCUGCUUUCUGAGCAUUCCACUACUUAUUCUUCCGAAGACAGGCCAGCUGUUUGACCUUGACUGGUCGAGUAACAAAGAGGCCAUUGGAGAAAGAUGAGAAGAUGACAUUUCUCACCAUCAGUGAUGAAACUAGGGGAAUGGUGGCAGGGAGGAGGACUGACUGAGGACGAUGACCCUGCUUGCUGAGCAUACCGUGAUUUUUUCUCCUAGAAGUUGAGGACCAUCAAGCCUUACUGAGACUGGCUUGAUUAGGAACACGCUUGGACAUUUUCUGCACUUACAUGUACAUCCUGUACCUCCAUAAAUGUAACAAAAGGCCAGCCUGUUGGCCCCUGACGUGAGAAGAUAAAUCCAAGAGAAUAUGAAUGUUGUUAUAUUUUUGUGUAGUGCUGCUGUUUUUCAGUGUUGAUGAAAAAUAAUGUCAAUGUCAAAAACUUGUGAAAAAUGGUUAAGUAUGAGUUGUGUUUGCACAGUCACUUAGGUACAUUCCCUGAAACAAUUUUUUAAAAUAAAAGAUGAUUUAUUAACUCCAAAUUUACUCGAAUCCCCGCUGAAAAGGACUGUUGAUGACAAAGUUGGAUCUUUUUGGUAUGUCCUGAAAAUUGGUUAAAGCAAAGAUAAAUGGCUCUCAGUGGUAUUCUGGAAACAGCUCAAAUUGGGAAUUAAAACUCCCAUGACCAAAAAGAAAAGAGAAAAAGCAGGUUUUAUGCCAUUGUUGAUUAGAUUUGACAUAAAAUAAACUUCAACAUUGGGGUCAAAGUGAGGGUGUGUAUUGACAUACACCAGCAUCAAGGUUGGCCAUGUUUAUUACAAAAUCAUCUUAGUUUUGUGGCAGUUGUAGUUUAUCUCAGCGAUUAUUUCACUCCAAAAAAGAAAUGGCUCCUACAUUUAUAGUACAUUUUAAAGUUUCAAAAAAUGAAGAAAACUAAAGAGUUUUGUUUUCCAUUUUUCAAGAAAGUGAAAGCACAAAAGCAUUGUCACAGAGCUUUUGUUGAACCGGUAUCUAAUAUUUUUCUUGCCGAAAUUGUGAUGAAAUAAAAUUCUUUGAAUAAAUGUAAUAAAUUUAAUGAAAUUUAAUACAUGUAAGACAAGAAGGAUUGAUGGUACCCUCAAAACGUCGGGAUUUUCCUGUGGUGAAUGUGCAGGUUAAAGGACCUAUGGCCCUUUUCAGUAUUGACUGAAUAGAGAAGAUUUAUGAGCCAAAUUUCCUGUAAACAAAAAUAUUAGUGAAAAUUUUGUAGGCUGUGGACUAGAGCAAAGGUCCCUUCCACAUAGAAACACAACUACCCAACUGUUUUACUAAGUUAUUAAACUCCUAAUUGAUAAUUCUUAAUUGUCUGUAACAAAUUCUGCCUGAAACUGCAUAGACGUAAGGACAUCCAUAUUUCACUGUGUUUAUCAUUCUGUGUUUUUUGCAUGGACUCACCUCUUUGUUUUGUUUUGUUUUAACUUUAUGAAAGUUGGUAUUUGUGCACUUUGGUGUUUUCUGUUCAGAUAAUUCUGCCUCACCCACCCUAUUGCUUUCAUACUAACCAAACAGAUAAGCACAGUGUAUGCUGGAUGUUGCAAAUAAAGGUGCAGACCUGAUUUACAAAACUGUUGAAAAUAAAACUGGCCAGCACAAUAAUUUUAAGAGGUUGGGAUCUUCCUGUAGCCUACCUUCUCAAGCACUGUUUUACUAAUGCUUUCCCUCCCGGAGAAACGGACAAGUCUCACAAAACUAAAGUGGUUACACCUUCAUAUCCACCAUUUCUACUGUAGUUUUGAAAAAAUGGUUUCAAACAAAUCAAAAUUUUGAAAAAGUUCUCAAAGCAAUGAUAAUAAUGCAUGUUAUCAACAGCAAGCACCAUCAGUCCUUUGUAACCUGCUUUAAUUAUAAAAGCAGCUUAUUCCUUGAAUCAGUUAUGCUCAAGGAUCUACUCUUUUUACGUCACAGUUGUUUUGCCUACGAGUGGCUGCUAAAAUUAUGGCUGGCCAUCAAUGCGAAAGUAAAAGAAUAAUUCCAAUCCCAAAUAGCUAUCAGAACACCAGAUAGUAAUACACAUAUUACUUAAUAAUAAAUGAAAAUGAAACCCUCUUUAAAAUUAAUGGGACAAAUGUAUCUUUUGAACGAAAUUGAUUGAAAACUAAAGGGUGUUUUUCUUUCUGUAAACUUUGGCCGCCCAUACAUAUUGUAGAAUGAGAGUGGUCUAUCAACUCACUACAAAAUGUUUGGAAAUUAGCUACCAGUUUGAUAGCAGGAUUUGCCUUUGACAACUUUGAUAUAAAAGUCUGCAAAACCCUUUAAAAGAUCUUUUCCCUUAGUUUUGCGUUUUAUGGCAAAAAUUGUAAACUAUGUAAAAAAAGUAUGAGAAUGAUGUAGGUCAAAAGAAAUCAUAAUUUCAUAAUAAUUUCAUAAGUAUAUAUAUUGUACAAUGGACUAUAUUCCUAAAAAAGGCAUUUUUUUAUCUUGAACCUCAAAUCUUGUUUUAAUAAAAUAUUAACUAAUUAAGGUACUGGUAAUCGACUAUUUUGUGGAUUCCUGUUGGCCUCAUUUCCCUUGAAUUUAUUUUCAAAACCUGGCAUAAAAGUCUAACAAAGGUAUGUUUCAUCACAUAUGUGAAUUUAUGUAUGUGAAAAUGUUAAUUUUUAAUUUAUAAUUUUACUGAUUCCCUUCAAAAAUUAAUACAAACCUAGCUUUUAAUUUAAAUAUGGGUGACUCCAGAAUAUUGUCCAUUGCAAAUGUUGAGUUAUUAGUUUCUUCAUUCUCAACCUAAUUUCAGUUUUGCAAUUCAUUAUGUUUACUGUAUAACUAAUUAAUAGAUUAUAAAAAUUUUUAUACGGUGCCACUGUCUCUUUUGUAACAAAAAAUGAUCAGUUAUCUAAUGAGCACAGAAGCAAUAAAGUCAAUCACACACGUGAAAUCCGAGCCCUUACCUCACUAUAGUUGAGCUGCAACCCGACUACAAAGCCAAUUUCCAAGCGAUGGGAGAAUAAAGACCAUUAUUUACAUUUCUGAAU
Molecule: long non-coding RNA, 10643 nt
Filed under: Acanthaster planci (crown-of-thorns starfish)
Lineage: Eukaryota; Metazoa; Echinodermata; Asteroidea; Valvatida; Acanthasteridae
Description: uncharacterized LOC110976977, transcript variant X2
Source: RNAcentral